RNAcentral lists this ribosomal RNA (406 nucleotides) under uncultured bacterium. RNAcentral describes it as "partial 16S ribosomal RNA". It matches the Rfam family "Bacterial small subunit ribosomal RNA", at positions 30 to 526 of the family's 1533-position model. The record is from RNAcentral.
AUUGAACGCUGGCGGCAGGCCUAACACAUGCAAGUCGAACGAGUGGCGGACGGGUGAGUAAUGUCUGGGAAACUGCCUGAUGGAGGGGGAUAACUACUGGAAACGGUAGCUAAUACCGCAUAACAUAAGAUGUGCCCAGAUGGGAUUAGCUAGUGGGUGGGGUAACGGCUCACCAAGGCGACUAUCCCUAGCUGGUUUGAGAGGAUGACCGGCCCCACUGGAACGGAGACACGGUCCGGACUCCUACGGGAGGCAGCGGUGGGGAUUAUUGCACAAUGGGCGCAAGCCUGAUGCAGCCAUGCCGGUUGUAUGAGGAAGGCCUUCGGGUUUUAAAGUACUUUCAGCGGGGAGGCGUUACCCGCAGAGGAAGCACCGGCUAACUCCGUGCCAGCAGCCGCGGUAAUUC